UACGUAGGGUGCGAGCGUUAAUCGGAAUUACUGGGCGUAAAGCGUGCGCAGGCGGUUCGUUGUGUCGGCGGUGAAAGCCCCGGGCUCAACCUGGGAAUGGCCGUUGAAACUGGCGAACUGGAGGGUGGGAGAGGGGGGUGGAAUUCCGCGUGUAGCAGUGAAAUGCGUAGAGAUGGGGAGGAACACCGAUGGCGAAGGCAGCCCCCUGGGCUGACACUGACGCUCAGGCACGAAAGCGUGGGGAGCAAACAGG
This 253-nucleotide ribosomal RNA is filed under the name uncultured bacterium. RNAcentral's name for it is "partial 16S ribosomal RNA". It matches the Rfam family "Bacterial small subunit ribosomal RNA", at positions 524 to 776 of the family's 1533-position model. The record is from RNAcentral.